GACCGGAAGACUUCUUUAAUGGUUCCCCAUGUUUAUUAAGUGGUCCAGAAUUUGACUUCUUUAAUGAAGCUGAACCAGACGUGACUCCAGAAGAGACAGGACCUGACGUUGAGUAGCUAGCCCUAGAGGCAGCAUUAGGCAUGAUAGGUCCUGAAUGUGAAGCAGCACCACCAAAAGAUCCAGUCCUUGAAGGAGCAUUAUUUAUAGGUCCAGACUUCCUAGACUUGGAACCGUCAACAGGAAUAUCAAACAUUUUCCCUAGCUCUCCGGAUUUUUUUA
RNAcentral lists this long non-coding RNA (279 nucleotides) under Citrus sinensis (sweet orange). RNAcentral describes it as "long non-coding RNA (CSIN_LNC000190)". The record is from RNAcentral. Lineage: Eukaryota; Viridiplantae; Streptophyta; Magnoliopsida; Sapindales; Rutaceae.